CUUCAGGCUGACAAGUCCAAAAUAGGACGAAAUGUGCGUCCUGAAU
RNAcentral lists this non-coding RNA (46 nucleotides) under Trichobilharzia regenti. Lineage: Eukaryota; Metazoa; Platyhelminthes; Trematoda; Strigeidida; Schistosomatidae. The record is from RNAcentral.